GGGUUUAGACAAGUGCUGGUGGUUUUCUAAUCCCCCUUUCCUUCUGCUCGUCAAAUCUGCUCUACGGUCAGCUGAAGGUGGACCAUUGUCGUUUCUUCUCGCUAGAACUUCAAUGGCGGGUCGACUGUUCUCGAAAUCAAAGUUCCGAUUUUUCGUCUCUUCUCUCCUCCGAAACGUCAGCCCAUCUGCUCUUCAGGAAUCUUCCCUGCUUCUGAAGCCACGAGCUCAAUUCUUGGAGCAAUGUCCGGCCGAAGGCGUUCCUUGGGCGAGGCGGUUCCAUGACGGGAGGCCGAGGGGGCCCCUUUGGAGAGGCAAGAAGCUCAUCGGGAAGGAGGCGCUUUUCGCAAUCUCGGGAUUGAAGCGGUUCAAAGACGACGGAGAGAAGCUCGAGAAGUUCAUCAAGACCCACGUCUCGAGGCUCUUGAAGCUAGACAUGAUCGCCGUUCUCAGCGAGCUCGAGCGCCAGGAGGAGGUCUCUCUGGCUGUUAAGAUGUUUGGGGUCAUUCAGAAGCAAGACUGGUAUAAGCCUGAUGUGUUUCUUUAUAAGGACUUGAUUAUUGCAUUGGCAAGAUGUAAAAAGAUGGAUGAGGCCAUGCAAUUGUGGGAGACUAUGAGGAAGGAGGAGUUAUUCCCUGAUUCUCAAACGUACACUGAAGUCAUCAGGGGCUUUUUGAGGUAUGGAUCUCCAGCAGAUGCAAUGAAUAUAUAUGAGGACAUGAAGCUGUCUCCAGAUCCACCGGACGAGCUGCCAUUCAGGAUUAUGUUGAAGGGACUCAUACCUCAUCCCCUUUUGAGGAACAGAGUCAAGCAGGAUUUUGAGGAGCUCUUUCCAGAGCGGCAUGUUUAUGAUCCUCCUGAAGAGAUAUUUGGUGUUCGUUAAGGUGUGAACAUAAUGUGUCGGGCGAUGUGCAAUUAGCUACUCCUGGUCCUCUGAUUCAGAACGCUUCACUUAUGGCGUAGUUUCUUAAUCUACAUUAUAUGAGCAAGGGCUGUCAGCAUGUCGAUAUUCACUGCUGCAUUUUUGGGCAAGGUAGCAUUCGGUUAUUACAAGUGUUUCGGCAAGACUCUGGAUAAAAACAGAACAAAUUUACAGAGAACAGAACAGUGAAGCCAUUCGUGCCAGAUCUCCCAUGCUGCCUCUUUAUGUUUUGCAGAAAUUAUGAUGUAAAACUAGUGUUAUCAAGUCCGCCUUCGUUUGAACUUCCAACUAGUGGAGUCUCUAAUGAUUAGUGGAAAGGAACUUUUCUUGGUGGCUGCCUGAGCACUGAGGGUCGAUCUGGGAUGUGGUUGAUAUUGAUAAAAAUCGCAUUUGGCAUUA
This is an RNA transcript of Syzygium oleosum, 1318 nucleotides long. It is a transcript of the gene named protein THYLAKOID ASSEMBLY 8-like, chloroplastic, with no coding region annotated. The transcript has 4 exons. The record is from RefSeq and is a predicted model, not a curated record. NCBI's taxonomy places the organism in Eukaryota, Viridiplantae, Streptophyta, Magnoliopsida, Myrtales, Myrtaceae.